UGAUUAUUUAAAUGGCCGCGGUACCUUGACCGUGCUAAGGUAGCAUAAUAACUUGUCUCUUAAUUAGAGACUGGAAUGAAUGGAAUCACGAGAGUCAAACUGUUUCUUUUUUAUAAAUAAAAAUUAACCUUUAAGUGAAGAGGCUUAAAUUUCUUAAAAAGACAAAAAGACCCUAUUGAGCUUGAUCUAAAAAUAUGUUUUCAUCUUUAAGAUUUUGUUGGGGCAACAAGAGAUAAUCUAAAUCCUCUCUUUUCUUUAUAUAGAUCCACCAAGUGAUCAGUAAAAAAAGCUACCAUAGGGAUAACAGGCUAAUUCUUUUUGAGAGACCAAAUUGACAAAAGAGUUUGGCACCUCGAUGUUGGCUUAGGAAACCUAUCAGAUGUAGAAGUCUGAUUAGUGGGUUUGUUCAACCCUUAAAAUCCUACGUGAUCUGAG
Molecule: ribosomal RNA, 435 nt
Filed under: Spionidae sp. B ZW-2021
Lineage: Eukaryota; Metazoa; Annelida; Polychaeta; Spionida; Spionidae
Description: partial large subunit ribosomal RNA
Rfam family: Bacterial large subunit ribosomal RNA
Source: RNAcentral